This 628-nucleotide long non-coding RNA is filed under the name Chrysolophus pictus (golden pheasant). RNAcentral describes it as "lncRNA (ENSCPIG00010014900.1)". Lineage: Eukaryota; Metazoa; Chordata; Aves; Galliformes; Phasianidae. The record is from RNAcentral.
AUCAGCCAUGUUCUGCUGUGCAAGGUGCUGUGAGGCAUGUUCCUCCUGGACUGCUGUAGGAUUGCUGAAGAUAAUUCUGUAACCCAUCCACCAGAUCAGUUUAAAAAGAAAAUGCAUUUACUGUGCACUGGAGAAGAUGGAUGAAGAAGAGAUCUGAAAAAAGCCAGAAGACAACUAAGUCUGGCAGGAGACAGAGCUCCAGCCUCUGCUAACUACAGAUCUGAAGACAGGCAUGAGAGCAGAUAAGAGGCGUUGACAGAGCGCAUGGGCCUGUGGCACACUGCCCGUCAGGUUGUCUUGGCUAUUUUGCUGGACCAUCCCUGCAAGGCUGCUCUGCCCUGCUCCUCUCUGCCUCCAGCAGUGCUAUUAAGGGAAGGAGGGAGCUCUGAAUUCCUGCAGUCUCUGGGAGCGGAGCAAAGCGAAGCCGAACUCCCCUCUUCAUGUCGCUGCGGGACUCCCGGUAAAUAUCCGUCCGUCCGCUGCGGGUGAUGCGAAGGACGCUCGCGAAAGGCGCCGUUCCGCUCCGUAACACAUAGCACCCACUCGCGGGCGGGCACGCGCGCACCGGGAGGAGGACGAAAAGGAAACGCCGACUUUUCGACCCCCGCCUUCCGAAAGGAGAAGCCUU